RNAcentral lists this ribosomal RNA (847 nucleotides) under uncultured Propionibacterium sp. Its description in RNAcentral is "bacterial SSU rRNA". It matches the Rfam family "Bacterial small subunit ribosomal RNA", at positions 28 to 882 of the family's 1533-position model. The record is from RNAcentral. Lineage: Bacteria; Bacillati; Actinomycetota; Actinomycetes; Propionibacteriales; Propionibacteriaceae.
GACGAACGCUUGGCGGCGUGCUUAACACAUGCAAGUCGAACGGAAAGGCCCUGCUUUUGUGGGGUGCUCGAGUGGCGAACGGGUGAGUAACACGUGAGUAACCUGCCCUUGACUUUGGGAUAACUUCAGGAAACUGGGGCUAAUACCGGAUAGGAGCUCCUGCUGCAUGGUGGGGGUUGGAAAGUUUCGGCGGUUGGGGAUGGACUCGCGGCUUAUCAGCUUGUUGGUGGGGUAGUGGCUUACCAAGGCUUUGACGGGUAGCCGGCCUGAGAGGGUGACCGGCCACAUUGGGACUGAGAUACGGCCCAGACUCCUACGGGAGGCAGCAGUGGGGAAUAUUGCACAAUGGGCGGAAGCCUGAUGCAGCAACGCCGCGUGCGGGAUGACGGCCUUCGGGUUGUAAACCGCUUUCGCCUGUGACGAAGCGUGAGUGACGGUAAUGGGUAAAGAAGCACCGGCUAACUACGUGCCAGCAGCCGCGGUGAUUACGUAGGGUGCGAGCGUUGUCCGGAUUUAUUGGGCGUAAAGGGCUCGUAGGUGGUUGAUCGCGUCGGAAGUGUAAUCUUGGGGCUUAACCCUGAGCGUGCUUUCGAUACGGGUUGACUUGAGGAAGGUAGGGGAGAAUGGAAUUCCUGGUGGAGCGGUGGAAUGCGCAGAUAUCAGGAGGAACACCAGUGGCGAAGGCGGUUCUCUGGGCCUUUCCUGACGCUGAGGAGCGAAAGCGUGGGGAGCGAACAGGCUUAGAUACCCUGGUAGUCCACGCUGUAAACGGUGGGUACUAGGUGUGGGGUCCAUUCCACGGGUUCCGUGCCGUAGCUAACGCUUUAAGUACCCCGCCUGGGGAGUA